This 663-nucleotide long non-coding RNA is filed under the name Brassica napus (rape). RNAcentral's name for it is "long non-coding RNA (BNAP_LNC012411)". The record is from RNAcentral. Lineage: Eukaryota; Viridiplantae; Streptophyta; Magnoliopsida; Brassicales; Brassicaceae.
GUAGCAGUAACAUACUCAGAUGUUGCACCCACGGGCUUUACCAGUAUAGAAGAAGAUUGUUCUGUGGUUGCAACCGUUGUUGCCUCAGUCGUUGUUGGCUCUUUUUGCAGUUAGGCUGAGAAAAUCUAUUUGGUAUAGUUCAAUUGGGUUUUCAUUUAUUGGGCUUUAAUAACAAACUCUAGUAGUGAAAUGCGCUCGUUAGCCUAGUGUAAUUUUUCUUAUUUGCAAUUUAUGGACCACUAUCCAAACUUCUCCCUAAAAGCACCAUUAACCCAAACUUAUCAGUAGAGUCCGCAAAACAGUACUAACACCAGCGUUUAAUUAGACAGAAAAAACACUUGUACUUAAUUUUUGUGUGGAUCUCAUCCACUAUUAUAUUAAUUUUCUGCUAAGCUCUCCCCUCUAAGUAUCUCCAUUAAUGCUGCUCUAAUAACGUUCGUGUGUAUAUAUAUAUACUAGAAGAAGUCCGCGCUAGGCGCGAAAUUUAAUGUAUUUUUUAUUUAAGUCAUAUAUAUAUUUUGAAAUAAAUUUAUUUAUGUUUUCAAGCAAUUUUUAUUUGUUCGGAUUUGCAUUUUGAUGUUUUGUUUGUAAUUAUUAUAUAUUUUGCAACUGCUUCCAAUUUGGUGUCUUUUUAGAUUACAUUAAAAUACUAAUACUACAUAU